Molecule: RNA transcript, 1767 nt
Organism: Eucalyptus grandis
Lineage: Eukaryota; Viridiplantae; Streptophyta; Magnoliopsida; Myrtales; Myrtaceae
Gene name: serine/arginine-rich splicing factor RSZ22
Exons: 7
Source: RefSeq, a predicted model, not a curated record
GAGGCCCAACGUCUUCGUCUCGAGCCGACAUCUCCAGAGGAGACUCGCCGAGCUUCGUCAAUUCUUCACCGAGGUCGCGACAUCGAAGAAGCGCUCAAACUUGCAGUCGAUCCCCCUUCGAAAUCGUCGAGAGAAUCUCUGAAGAGGUUUGAAGCUGGUGGCUGCUGCAAUGUCCCGAGUGUACGUCGGGAAUUUGGACCCGCGGGUGUCGGAGAGGGAUCUUGAGGACGAAUUCCGUACUUUCGGUGUUCUUAGAAGUGUCUGGGUUGCUCGGAGGCCGCCGGGUUAUGCAUUUAUCGAGUUUGAUGAUCGAAGAGAUGCUCUAGAUGCUAUUCGUUCAUUGGAUGGAAAGAAUGGUUGGCGUGUGGAAGUCUCUCACAACAAGGGUGGUGGAGGCCGUGGCGGUGGGCGUGGUGGACGUGGCUUUGGCGGAGGUGAGGACUCCAAGUGUUAUGAGUGUGGGGAGCCAGGUCAUUUUGCCAGAGAGUGUCGCUCGCGCAUUGGUUCAAGAGGCUUGGGAAGUGGACGGCAUAGGAGCCCCAGUCCUAGGCGGCGUAGGAGCCCCAGUUAUGGGAGAAGGAGCUACAGCCCCCGGGAUAGAUCUCUGCGCCGCCGCAGCAUCACGCCUCCUCGACGUGACCGCAGCAUCACACCUCCUCGACGUGACCGCAGCUAUAGCCGUUCCCCUCCGCAGCGCCGUGCUUCUCGUGAUUCCCCUUAUGCCAAUGGGGAUUAAGGCUGCAUCUUGGUAGAAGCGCAUGGCUUAUAUUAAAUGGAGUUGCUAAUUGCUGAACCUUCGGCUAUGUAGCCUGGUUUGAGGAUUGAGUUACGUAUGUUGGUGUCCUGACAGUGAAGUAGUUAGGAACUUGGAUUGGCAUGGCUUCUACAAGUAUUUUAGCAAUGGGUGCAUAGAUGCCACAUGUAAUUGGCUCGGUCUCUUCAGCUACAGAAACUUUGAAGGUUUUCGAUUAUCGGCUCAAACGGCACGAUUUCGCUACUCAUUUCGUCACUGCUCAUGGUUUUUCCCCAUCUGGUUAUCUGCUCGUCUACAUCUGCUCCUCUUCGCUUCUGCUGUUAUUGAGCUCAAAACAUUUUGUAUCUGCAAAGUGAGGAAUCUUCACAGCCAAUGACUUUUGCGCUCACUCCGGCAAAACAAAGCUUGUGAUCUAGUUUAUGCGCACACGUGUCGGCUUAGCUCAUUUGAGAGGAUGAAGCUGGUCUUUGGCUUCCUCUGUCUUUGCUUCUAAUCACAGCACACGCAUCUUCUUGUUGUUUGUGCACCUUGGCUUGAGAACUUGGUGUGAAAUUGGAUUUGAAAGCUCUCCUCAGUUACUGGAGCUGUUAAUCUCAUUAUCAAUAGCUCGGAUGGUGCCAAGUGCAAUAUGCACACGAGGUCAGUCCUGAUGCCAUGACUUAUAUGAAAACCUGCUGAGAUUUCCAAUCCAUGAGUCAUCUCUUUGUUAAUCGUCUCAAGAGUUAGAAUUGUCUGGAUUACACUGGGUCUGGUACUUGGUGAGAGCUUCUUCAUUGCAGAGAAAUAGGUUGGUUCCUUAACAGGGGUUGCCUUCCAUUAAAGGUGCUCAGCACUAUAUUUUGGCUGGGAAGAAGCAUAUCAAUGAUCACAGAUCUGCUGUACUUGUAAGGUUAGAGACCGACAUGUCCUACAUGGAUGCACCGGUUGUUGAAGAUGUUCAUGUUGUUAAGGAUUAUUCUGUGUAGCAGAACCUUUAAAAUGCCAAUCUUGAUCCAUAAGGAUGUGUUGCUCCA